CUGGUAUUCCCUCCGUUCGGAAUUACUUGUCGCGAAAAUAAAUGUACCUAGACAUAUUUUAGUUCUAGAUACAUCCAUUUUCGAGACAAGUAAUUCCGGACGGAGGGAGUAUGAU
Non-coding RNA from Triticum aestivum (bread wheat), 115 nucleotides. The record is from Rfam. Lineage: Eukaryota; Viridiplantae; Streptophyta; Magnoliopsida; Poales; Poaceae.